UUUCAGGUUGCUCAUCAGGAUGUUCUUCAUCAGGAUGUUCUGCUGGUUGCAUUGCUGGAAUCGUAGUUGGAUGUUUGGUUGUUGUUGCUGCAGCUUCUGCUGGAGGAUUCACUGUGUAUAAGAAACGACACAACAGGAAACCUGAUCCUCAGAGUGCAG
Long non-coding RNA from Oryzias melastigma (Indian medaka), 159 nucleotides. RefSeq lists it as uncharacterized. The transcript has 2 exons. The record is from RefSeq and is a predicted model, not a curated record. Lineage: Eukaryota; Metazoa; Chordata; Actinopteri; Beloniformes; Adrianichthyidae.